CAAACUGGAGAUGGCGACCGGCGCACGGGUGAGUAACACGUAUCCAACCUGCCGAUAACUCGGGGAUAGCCUUUCGAAAGAAGGAUUAAUACCCGAUGGCAUAAUAGAACCGCAUGGUUUGAUUAUUAAAGAAUUUCGGUUAUCGAUGGGGAUGCGUUCCAUUAGGCAGUUGGUGGGGUAACGGCCCACCAAACCUUCGAUGGAUAGGGGUUCUGAGAGGAAGGUCCCCCACAUUGGAACUGAGACACGGUCCAAACUCCUACGGGAGGCAGCAUG
This 276-nucleotide ribosomal RNA is filed under the name uncultured bacterium. RNAcentral's name for it is "partial 16S ribosomal RNA". It matches the Rfam family "Bacterial small subunit ribosomal RNA", at positions 77 to 353 of the family's 1533-position model. The record is from RNAcentral.